UAAGACUUGUAAAACACUAAUCUACAUCUCCUGAAUGCAACUCAAGCACUUUCAUUAAGCUAAAGCCU
This 68-nucleotide transfer RNA is filed under the name Anolis chlorocyanus (Northern Hispaniolan green anole). RNAcentral's name for it is "tRNA-Ala". Lineage: Eukaryota; Metazoa; Chordata; Lepidosauria; Squamata; Anolidae. The record is from RNAcentral.